This 255-nucleotide ribosomal RNA is filed under the name uncultured bacterium. RNAcentral's name for it is "partial 16S ribosomal RNA". It matches the Rfam family "Bacterial small subunit ribosomal RNA", at positions 524 to 776 of the family's 1533-position model. The record is from RNAcentral.
UACAGAGGCCCCAAGCAUUACCCGGAAUCACUGGGCGUAAAGGAUGUGUAGGCGGUCGUAUUAGUCUUUCGUGAAAGUUCUCGGACUUAAUCCGGGAAACGCGGGGGAAACGGUACGACUUAGAGGUUGCGAGAGGUAAAGGGAACUCAUGGUGUAGGGGUGAAAUCCGUUGAUAUCAUGGGGAACACCAAAUGCGAAGGCACUUUACUGGCGCACACCUGACGCUGAAACAUGAAAGCGUGGGAAUCGAACGGG